GUGAGUUGGCCGGCGUAGGUGGCGUCUCUAUCGGCUUGGUCACGACCUGUUCCCGGCUACGCAUCUCGUCCGGUGGCGCAGGCUCGGGUUUGGGACCCGGGUUGGCGCGGCGAUCAGGCGGAGUUGCCGACUUCGUUUCCGAGGUGUUCGCCAUUCGGGUUCCCGCCGCGUCUCGGUUCACCUGUAUAUUCUUUUGUUUAUCUACGGUGGGACACUGCCGAAACGUGUCGACGCGCGGCGCUGGGUCCGUGUGAGAACAAAGGCUCUGGGCCUGCGAGAACGGCACCGGAAGCUUGGCGGGCUGGGAUCAGGUGCGCUCCUGCGGAUGUCCGUGUCACUCGAUGCUGCGCAGGCACUACCCAGCAGCGUGUGUGGUAUACUAGCUGUCGGCGCCGUCUCGCCCAGUCGGUGGGAGCGAAUGCGCGGGCACCGUUGAUGGUGACUUUUCCCACCGCCUGAGAAGCCUACUGAAGGACUACCGGAGGCCAGAUAUGCUUAUUCCCCGCCAUUUCCUUUUUAUUCUUCAUUCUGCGGGGUGUCUGGUGAUGUCUCGCCGGCUGGAAUCACGUCGUCGUUUCGUUCUCGACUGUCGGCUGCCGCGUCACAUCCAGACAUGCGGUGCCCUUCUCGAGGGUGGCCAUCUCCUCACGGGCAUCUGAGAACUCUCCCACCUCCAUGCCUUCGCCCAGUCGGCCCCAUGCCACGGCUGUCGCGUUGGACAACAUGCAGACAGCACGCGGAACAUUGGCCUGGUCUCCGCCGGGCACCACGGUCCGAAGCGUGGCCGAGUAUGAAGACAAAACGUGCGGAUGAGCACUGGAGGGGAGAAAAAUAGGAAGGUGGAAUAAAACAGAAGCAAAUAAAGUCGCUCGGAAAGACA
Dermacentor silvarum is the source of this 880-nucleotide long non-coding RNA. RefSeq lists it as uncharacterized. NCBI's taxonomy places the organism in Eukaryota, Metazoa, Arthropoda, Arachnida, Ixodida, Ixodidae. The record is from RefSeq and is a predicted model, not a curated record. The transcript is spliced from 3 exons.